UGGGAAUUUACAUACAUAUGCACACAGAAAAAGAGGAGAAGACACGGAAAUAUAGAGGGAGAUAAAAGACGGUGGCUGGACGUGGAAAUUGAAGAUACACGCAGAAGGCUGAAAAUUGGAAGAAAAAGGGAAACUUUAAGUGGAAAAUUAAUCACUUGUCGUCAAAUCUCGGUGAUGUCUUUCCAGUUUUAUUUGUUUAAUCCCAACAUUAUGUUAGGCUAAAUAAUUUCAUGUAUUGGAUGUACAACAACAUUGUUUAAUUUUUAGUUUUAAAUCGAGACUUGGUAUUUUUAUUUUAAUUCAUGUAUUGUGAUUCCAUUGACAUGCUUAUUUACAUUGUUUUAACGUUUGCGCACCAUUAGGAUAAUAAGUUGCUUAUUCGUAGUGUUUGAAAACUUACGGUAGGUAGAACACUGUUAUUGGAACAAACAGGCAAUAAAUAUUAGGAAUAAUAUUUGUAGAGUGUGCGAUCUUAUGUGAUAAUUCUAAAUGUCAAUGCAUGUUUGUCAUAUGAAGUCGGACUAGGAAUAUGAUCGUCUUGUGGUAAUCAUAGGUUUAUUAUAUCUUGGGAAAGAAUAAUAAAUAAUAGUGGAAUUAUCGAUCAUCACAACUACAUAAAUUGAGAUAAUUAUUAUUGGUUGAGAAUUAGAAUUAAGAAUUGAUCAGUGACGUCGGAAAUCCAAUACGUUCGCACAUUUAAUUUUUACACUAACUUUCAUUGCUUUUACAAGUUUUAGUUAUAAAAAAAAAUUUAUUAUUUAGCUAUUCCUUCGAUUGUCGUUUCGUUACAAAUACGAAUUUAAAUAUAUCAAAUAUACUAAAAUUGAUCAUUAUUCCCUGUGGGACGAUGAGUCUCUCAUCACGAUUAUUACUUGUAUAACGAACCUGUACGCUUGCGGGAAUUUGACGAACAAGUUUUUGACGCCGUUGCCCGGGAAUAACGGUGUUAAUUUUAGUUAUUAGAUAUUUUAGAUUCUUUUUAUUUUUAUUUUUAGUUGUUUUUAGGCUACCAUUACACUUUUUAGGCGACUUUAGUUUAUGCAAAAUCCUGACGAGCCAGAUCUCUUUCCGAUAUACCACGAAAUCGAAAGACAUUUAGAAAUCACAGGAGAGUUCAACGCCAAGCAAAGAGAAUGGCUGACAAUCAAAAUCAACAGCAGAAUCAAGAUCAGCUUCAAGAGCAAAUACCACAGCCAAAUCAACAGAGAGCCAUCCAGAACGGAGCUUCUACCUUAGUUGGAGAUUACGUCAAACCAAUUCCCACACCAGUGCAACCUGCUGUGGUAUAUCCUCCCUUUGGACAACCUAAUUUUCACCUUCGACCAGAUGUCAUCAAUUUGUUUCAAAAUCACCAAGACAUCAGGUUCUUUGGAAAAGCCACGGAAAAUUCUCAUGAGCAUAUUUCUGCUUUUCUCAUGUUAUGUGAAGUGAUCAGUAAUGAAGGGAUAUCAGCAGAUGCAUUUUGAAUGCGAUUAUUUCCUCAUACCUUGAAGGACGCUGCUAGAGAAUGGUUUCUUUGUUUACCAUCAGGGAGCAUUCAGUCAUGGAACGAUAUGGUUCAAAAAUUCAUGAUGAAAUUCUUUCCACCUUCUCGGAUUCACCAAAUUAGGAAUGACGUUCACACCUUCAAGUAUAAAGAUUUAGAGAGCUAUCCUGAGGCAUGGGAGAGGUUCUAGAAUUUUUUCAGAAAAUGUCCCAGCCUUGACAUUCCCAAGCAGGCUCAACAAUAUCUUUUCUACUACGGUCUAAAACAAGAGUUCAGAAAUAUGAUAGAUGCUUCAGCGGGAAGAUCGGAUAUGAAACUUGAUGUUGGUGAGGCAUAUGACCUAUAUGAAAAAAUAGUUGGAAACCAAUCGAUGUGGCCAACUGAUAGGGAAGCUCCAAGGAAAACUUCAGGGUUACACAACGUAGAUAUAGUGACAGCAUUGGCCGCACAAAUGGAAGUUCUUACAAUGAAAAUGGACAAUCUAUCUAAGUCAGUCAACAUGGUACACCAAUCGUCACCUACUUAGGAAGGCUCCGGAGCGAAUCAUGCUAGUACACACUGCCCUUUGGCAUCUACACAUGUUAGUCAAUCCGAAGAAGUAAGCUACGCACAGAACUUUCAAAGAUAGCAAAAUAAUCCUUUUUCCAACACAUUUAAUCCGGGUUGGAAGAACCAUCCAAAAUUUUCAUGGUCCAAUAAUUAAGGACAAGAACAGGGAGGAAGCAAUCAGAAUAAACCACCAGCGUUCCAACAGCAACAACAGCAAGGGAGAAGGCCAUCGUUGGAGGAUUUUCUGGCUCAAUACAUUACUAAAACUGAGACCAACUUUUAAAACCAACAAGUCUCGAUCAAGAAUUUGGAACAACAGGUUGGACAAAUUGCAGCCACACUAUUUGGUAUAGCUCAAGGGACGUUACCUAGCAACACCGAGACAAACCCUAAGGAGCAAGUCAAAGCAAUCACUACACGUAGUGGGGUCCAAUUACCAGAAAUACAUGUAAAGCGGUCAGCAACUGUCAUAGAAAAGGCACCUACUAUGGGCGAGGAGCAAGUGGAUGAAUCAGACAAAGUCUCAGGAAAAAAUCAAGUUGAGUCAUCAGAUAGUCCACAGGUGAAGGCAACUGCUCCUGUCAAAGCAUAUGUUCAUCCAAUCCCAUUUCUACAGAGAUUGCAAAAACAUAAGCGCGACGAGCAAUUCCAGAAAUUUUUGGAUGUGUUCAAGAAGCUGAACAUUAACAUACCAUUUGCUAAAGCUUUAGCUCAAAUGCCCGCUACGCUAAGUUCAUGAAAGAUAUUCUAUCAAAUAAGAGGAAGCUGGAAGACAAUGAAACAGUCAUACUUACUGAGGAGUGUAGCGCAAUUCUCCAACACAAAUUACCACAAAAAUUAAAAGAUCCAGGGAGUUUUACUAUUCCUUGUCACAUUGGUAAUUUGUAUAUAGAUAAGGCAUUGUGUUAUCUAGGAGCUAGCAUUAAUUUAAUGCCCUUAUCUCUUUUCCGGAAACUAGGUUUGGAGGAAGCAAAACCGACUACAAUUUCGCUGCAAUUGGCUGACAGGUCAAUCAAACACCCUCGUGGUAUUUGUGAAGAUAUUUUGGUGAAGGUUGACAAGUUUAUCUCCCCAACGGACUUCAUUAUUUUGGAUAUGGAAGAAGAUAGAGGUUUUCCCCUCAUAUUGGGUCAUCCAUUUUUGGCCAUGGGAAGAGCUCUGAUAGAUGUACAAAAGGGUCAGUUGAUAUUGAGGUUAAAUGAAGAAGAAAUGACAAUCAACAUGUUUAAAGCUUUCAGAUUUCAGAGCGAACCGGAUUCUCGCAUGCAGAUUGAUGUAAUAAAAGAAGUGGUGUCAGAAACAUUCAAACUAGAUCACCCUCAGGAUCUGCUUGAGUCUUUUUUAGUGCAUUCGCAAGAUUUACCAUCAGAAAAGGAGAAAGUAGAAGAAUGUCCACAUUAUUUGGUAGCCAUACCACCAUUUUUCAAACAACUACGAUUGGAGCUCGGUGAAAGGCCCUCAACACCUUUGCCAUCUAUACAGCAAGAUCCAAAUCUUGAACUCAAAUAGUUUCCAACCCAUCUUCGCUAUGCGUACUUGGGGGAAAAGAAUUCACUUCCAGUAAUUUCUCAAACAAUCUUACAGAAGUGGAGGAGUAUCAGUUGUUGAGGGUACUUCGAGAGCAUAAGACAGCAAUAGGAUGGACGAUGUCUGAUAUAAAAGGGAUCAGCCCUUCGCUUUGCAGGCAUAAAAUACUGAUGGAAGAUGAUUACAAACCUUCAAUUGAGCAUCAACGCAGAUUAAAUCUGACUAUGUAGGAAGUGAUAAGGAAAGAGGUAUUAAAGCUUCUGGAUGCAGGGAUCAUCUAUCCCAUAUCAGACAGCCAUUGGGUCAGUCCAGUAUAGGUAGUGCCGAAAAAAAGGAGGAAUCACAGUGGUUCCAAACGAAAACAAUGAGCUCAUCCUGACAUACACAGUCACGGGUUGGAGAGUUUGUAGAUUUUGUUGCAUUUUUUUGAAAAAAAUUCAUAGUCAGCCUUGGUGAUAGAUUUGACAUCUAGUCAGCAUCUAUCAUCGGCGCACGUCACGUUUCGGGUCCACUAGGGUGAUUCGGGACGUGUUGUGUUAAAAAAGAGAAAGAUAUCAAAUAUCUGGAGUUUCUUUUUGUAUAUUAUAUGGAUGAUCCGAUCCCCAAGCUUACAUGAACCAUCAAAGAAAGUCCUACAAAUGAAGACUUGGGCCUGCCAAGCCUAAAUUCAAUUCAAUGAAAGGCAGACCCCAUAGAAGUAAGCCUGAGCCAGCUCAGUGAAGACUCACUUUCCCCUUCCUUUCAUUGAUUAGAUGCUAGAGAGACUUGUUGAACAUACUUACUACUACUUCUUGAAUGAUUAUUCGGGGUAUAACCAGACUCCUAUAGUGCCAGAUGAUCAAGAGAAGACGACCUUUACUUGCCCUUAAGCCACUUUUGCUUAUAGGAGGAUGCCCUUCGGUCUUUACAAUGCUUCUGUCACAUUUCAACGUUGUAUGAUGUCUAUUUCCUCGGACAUGGUGGGACACAUCAUUGAGGUAUUUAUGGAUGAUUUCUCAGUAUUUGGAAAAUCAUUUAAAGAGUACUUUGAACAUUUGGAAAAAGUGUUACAGCGGUGCGAAGGCACAAACCUUGUAUUAAAUUGGGAAAAAUGUCAUUUCAUGGUUUGGGAAGGGAUUGUGUUAGGACAUUUAAUUUCAGCACGGGGUAUUGAGGUUGAUAGAGCUAAGAUACAAGUCAUCAAAAAACUACCACCGCCAGUAACAGUAAAAGGAGUUAGAAGUUUCCUAGGUCACGCUGGGUUCUACCGUCGCUUCAUAAAAGACUUUUCCACAAUCUCGAAGCCAUUGUGCAAUUUACUAGAAAAAGGGGCCCCAUUUCACUUUUUUGAGAAGUGCUUGACAGCUUUUAAUACCUUAAAAGAAAAAUUGGUUUCUGCUCCAGUAUUGGCUUCUCCAGAUUGGAAUUAUCCGUUCGAGCUUAUGUGUGAUGCCAGUGAUGACGUAGUGGGCGUAGUGUUGGGUCAACGAAAGGAGAAAAAUUCUCAUGUAAUUUACUAUGUUGGUAAGACUUUGGAUGAGGCUCAAAUGAAUUAUGUGACUACAGAAAAAGAGCUAUUGGCAGUAGUGUUCACCGUUGACAAAUUCAGAUCAUACUUGAUUGGGUUAAAAGUGAUUGUCUUUACAGAUCAUUCAGCGUUAAAAUAUCUAAUGAGCAAGAAGGAUGCAAAGUCGAGACUUAUUCGUUGGAUACUCCUAUUGUAAGAGUUUGAUCUGGAAAUUAGAGAUAAAAAGGGGAGUAAGAAUGUUGUUUCAGAUCACGUCUCACGCCUUGAAUCACAUGAGUCAAAUCCUACAUUGGAGAUCAAUAAAGUCUUUCCUGAUGAAAUGCUCUUUCAGAUUAUCACUACACCAUGGUACGCCGAUUAUGUCAAAUAUUUGGCCUGCUCCAUCAUCCCACCAGACUACUCGAGUCACCAAAAGAAGAAAUUCUUCAGUGACCUAAAACACUACUUUUGGGAUGAUCCAAUUGUUUACAGAAAGGGUCCAGAUCAGAUCAUACGCUGUUGUGUACCAGAAGUAGAACAACAUCAAGUAUUAGAAUCAUGUCACUCUGCUCCGUAUGGGUUCACUUUGCAGCAGCCAAGACAGCAGUAAAGGUACUACAAUCAGGAUUUUAUUGGCCUACAUUGUUCAAGGACGUCCAUUAUAUGGUGAAAUAUUGUGAUAAGUUUCAGAGGAUUGGAAACAUCUCAAGGAGGAAUGAGAUGCCUUUGAACAGUAUUUUGGAGGUUGAAAUAUUCGACGUUUGGGGCAUUGACUUCAUGGGACCAUUUCCUCCAUCCUAUGGUCAACAAUAUAUACUGGUGGCAGUGGACUACGUGUCUAAAUGGGUUGAAACUGUGGCUUUGCCAACUAAUAACGGUCGAAUAGUCACUCAAUUUCUAAAGAAAAACAUUUUCACGAGGUAUGGCACCCCGAGGGCAAUUAUUAGUGAUGGUAGAAAGCAUUUUUGUAAUCGCUUAUUUGCUUCGUUGUUGACCAAAUAUGGAGUGAAAUAUCGUGUCUCAACCCCAUACCAUCCUCAAACUAGUGGGCAAGUGGAAAUCUCCAAUAGAGAGUUAAAGAAGAUUCUUGAAGCUACGGUCAAUGCAUCACGUAAAGAUUGGGCUAAGAAAUUGGAUGAUGCACUUUGGGCAUAUAGAAUAGCAUUUAAGACUCCAAUUGGCAUGUCUCUAUAUUGACUGGUAUUUGGAAAGGCUUGUCAUUUGCCGAUUGAGUUAGCGCAUAAAGCAUACUGGGCGACACACUUGCUCAAUUUCAAUAUGAGGGCAGCAGGAGAAAAGAAGGUUCUACAACUUCAUGAGCUUGAUGAGUUUCGUUUGGAUUCGUAUGAAAAUGCAAAGAUUUAUAAGGAAAAGACCAAAAGAUGGCAUGACAGACAUAUAAGGGAGGAGGAUUUUGAGGUUGGUCAGCAAGUAUUGAUGUUCAAUUCACGCCUCAAGCUUUUUCCGGGAAAGCUAAAGUCUAGGUGGUUGGGUCCAUUCAUAGUAGUAGAUGUGUUUCCACAUGGUACUGUGGAAGUGGUGUCUCAAGAUCAAUAAAGGAGGUUCAAGGUAAAUGGACAGCGGUUGAAAGUUUAUUGGGGAGGUGACUACUCCAGUGAAAAAGCAAUCGUACCACUUGAUAAUGUAGAGUAGCCAGGACAACAAAGUCUAGCUAAUGACUAUAAAUUAAGCGUUUAUUGGGAGGCAACCCAAUUUCUAAACCUUUUAUUUAUUUAUUUUUUUGCAUCGCAUUGCAUAUAUAUUUGUUUUAAUUAUCAGUUGUAUAAUUAGAGUUAGGCACAUUUAAAUUUAUAGAGUGUCAUCAUCCGAUCAUGUUUUCAUUGAGGCUUUUAAAUAUAAUGUUCGUUAUUUCGAAUGUUUGGGCUAAGUAAUGCAUGUUUUGAAUUAUUUGAUCUCCACUGUUUGAUUUGAUUGUCAUAUGCAGGAACAUGACAUCAUGGAACACUCAAACCAACAUCGAUCAAGAGAAAAGCAUGAUGAGAUAGAUUGUCUAGCCAUCACCUACAGUAUCUUCCACGUUCAAUUGAAAAAUUCGGGGAGUACCUUCGUCAUUUUUCUCCCCAUCCCCUUAUAUUCUUAAUUAUAUUUUAAGACAUUGAGAACAAUAUUUGGUUUAAGUUUGGGGUGGGAAAGUUUUCGUAUGUUUUCGUGAGUUAUUUACAUAUGUUUAAUAAAAAAAAUAAAAAAAUAAAAAUACUAAUAAAAAAUUUUUUAAAAAAUAAAACUAAUAAUAAAAAAUCGUUAAUUUUUAUUUAUUUUUGAUUGUGUGCUUGUGUGGGUUAGACGGUUUGACUGACAAUGAUGAUUAAAUUUGAGAUUUGGUGUUGAUUUAUGAAUUGUGGAUAGGGAGCAUGCUAGAUUGAUUGAAGCUUGAACCUGCAAAACUUGAUAUUAUACAUGCACUAGAAUUGAGUUUGACAUUAUGAUGAAGUGAGUUGAUUCGUGCACUUGAUAGAUUGAAUUAGUUGGACAUAGAUGCUUUACCAAAAUCAUACUAACUAAUUAUCCUUAGACCAAAUUUAGCACAAUUUGGAAAGAUCUUACUGUUGUAGGAAAAUGCGGAUGUGAAUGUAGAUUCCUUGUGUGAAAAUUUUGUGUAGAUUGUCUGAGAUUAAUAGGAUAAAAUUUGGUGAAAGUCUUAAAUUAGAGGUCAAUUUGCUUGAAUAGGUGUGUGAUAAGGGGCAUUGCACUAAUCAAGGCAUAUUUUUUGAAAUUUAAAAUUUUUCUAAAGGGCUUUUAUGACUCGAGCAAUUAAGCCUACAAGGGUAUCUUAAAACCUGGUGCCCUAAAGUCAUCUUACUUGGGAGCUAUCGGCCUAAAGCUCGUUACAGGGGUCAUUUAAAAAGCAAUCAGAGAUGAAAUUACCCUAAAAAAAUUAUUCUCUUCGAAGCCUUUUUGACUCGGGUAAUUAAACCUGUAAGGGUAUUUAAAAACAUGGUGCCUUAAAGUCAUCUGAUUUGGGAGUCAUCGGCCUAAAGCCUGGUACAUGGGUCAUCUAGAAAGCUUAAAAAAGAGUGCAAAAAAAAAAAAUUACUAUUGCCUUGUAAGUCCCAACACUUGUUCGAGAGAAUUUGACUUUCAAUAAAUGAUAAUUAGCCUAAUUGAAUCUUGGCAGUCGAAGCAAUCAAAUAAUUUGAGAGUCCUUAAUCAUUGAUGUGUUAACCUGCAACUAGUGACAUCCUCCUGAAUUGGAGAGGUGAGGAUAAUGAUGAAAAUUCAAUCUUAGAUCACACACUAGGAAAAGAGUGCAAAAAAGAAUAAGUUUGAGGUGUAUAAAUCUUACGAGAGAUGAUAGGAUAUAUUUGACCAUAGAGGGUCAGGAAUUCGAUCAACUUGUGAAUUCAUUAAUGUCUACUUAGUUCUUCACACACACAUGUCGAUUUUGUAUUGGACAUGAGGAUAUUAGCUUGGUAUUGUAGCUUUGAAGUAGUUUGUAGAUUUCAUGCCGUGAUCUCAAAUCCAUAGGUAAAAAGCUAAACUGCCCAACCAAAUAUUUUUGCAUGAUUGUGUGUUUGUUGUUAUUUAUGUUAUAAUUUUGUUCGAGGAUGAACAAAGGUUUAAGUUUGGGGGUGUUUGAUAAGUGCAAUUUGUGCACUUAUUUAUGCCACAUUAUUAAACUUUUCGUUCGGUCACAUUAUAAAUUUUUGUUUAAUUUAGGUUAAUUUUCUUUGUGAUUUUAGUAACGGAUCCAUUUGCAACAAUUGGAAAGGAAGAAAGACAAAAUCGAGUAAAAUCUAUGAUUUGUGAUUAAAUUCCACAAGUUUGACUUUGAGGAGGACAUUGGCCGCACAAAUAAAAUUGUAUCAAUGAUUAACUUGCAUCAGUUGGAAGAAAUGAGGACUUGAAGAAAGAAUAAUAAUUGGGCCUCAAUUGGACCAUGAAUUGGAAUUUGUUUGCACCAUUAUUUGGACUUCUAAUUAGAUACAAAGGAAGAAGGGUUGCGGCUGUAGGAGAAAUAUAUGUUGAUAGGCAAUUUGGAGGGUGUUGGUUAAUGAUAUAAUUAUAUAUACAAGGCAGAGAAAAAAAGAGAUGGAAGCCCUUUUUAGUGGAGUUAACUUUAGGGAUUAAAAAAAAAAGAGAACUAGUGGCUGCAAUUGGUGGUGCUUGGGGGGAAUAAAAUUUGGGUAGCUAAUUUCAAAAAGAGAUAUACACACAUACCCACAGAAACACGUCUAUUAGGAGCUGGGAGUCAAAAAGAGGAAUUUAUAUACACAAAAAGACAGCUGUUUUGGAGAGAAAUAAGGCUGCUAACCGGUGGAAUAACACAAACAUUAGGCUGCUUUGGGAAUAAACUGCAGACACAUACACCCGCCAACAUUGGGAGGAGGAAGACACAUUAAAAAGGUUACCUGCUGCUGGGAAUUCACAUACACACGCACACAGAAAAAGAGGAGAAGACACGGAAAUAUAGAGAGAUAAAAGACGGCGGUUGGAUGUGGAAAUUGAAGAUACACGCAGAAGGCUGAAAAUUGGAAGAAAAGGGGCAGCUUUAAGUGGAAAAUUAAUCACUUGUCGUCAAAUCUCGGUGAUGUCUUUUCAGUUUUAUUUGUUUAAUCCCAACAUUAUGUUAGGCUAAAUAAUUUCAUGUAUUGGAUGGAUAACAACAUUGUUUAAUUCUUAGUUUUAAUUCGAGACUUGAUAUUUUUAUUUUAAUUCAUGUAUUGUGAUUCCAUUGACAUGCAUAUUUACAUCGUUUUAAUGUUUGCGAACAAUUAGGACAAUAAGUUGCUUAUUCGUAGUGUUGAAAAAUUUACGGUAGGUAGAAUACUUUUAUUGGAACACACGGACAAUAAAUAUUAGGAAUAAUAUUUGUGGCGUGUGCGAUCUUAUGUGAUAAUUUUAAAUAUCAAUGCAUGAUUGCCAUAUGAAGUCGGAUUAGGAAUAGGAUCGACUCGUGGUAAUCAUAUGUUUAUUAUAUUUUGGGAAAGAAUAAUAAAUAAUAGUGGAAUUAUCGAUCGUCGCAACUGCAUAAAUUGAGAUAAUUAUUAUUGGUUGAGAAUUAGAAUUAAGAAUUGAUCAGUAGCGUCGGAAAUCCAAUACGUCCGCACAUAUGAUUUUUACACUAACUUUCAUUGCUUUUACAAGUUUUAGUUAUAAAAAAAAGAAAAAAAUUAUUAUUUAGCUAUUCCUUCGAUUGUCGUUUAGUUACAAAUACGAAUUUAAAUAUUUCAAAUAUACUAAAAUUGAUCAUUAUUCCCUGUGGGACGAUAACUCUCUCAUCACGAUUAUUACUUGUACAACGAACUCGUACGUUUGCAAGAAUUUGACGAACAAUCGCGACCAUCAACUGGGGUAGAAGUACUGAUCCAUGUCCCUGGAAGUACGUCUCGUACAACCUAUUGCUUCUCUCAAUGGCUGUAUCGUCGUCCGUAAUCCUCAGUCCAGUGAUCAAGCUCAACUUAUACAUCGAGAAAUUGACGACUUUGCCCCUAAGGUCGAAAUGAAGGAAAUCGCCGUCGACUGGCCUCAGAAGCCGACAUAGAAGUGUAUCGAUGUUCUGUUCUGAGUACUGGGGUUCUCGCA
RNAcentral lists this long non-coding RNA (10592 nucleotides) under Olea europaea subsp. europaea. Lineage: Eukaryota; Viridiplantae; Streptophyta; Magnoliopsida; Lamiales; Oleaceae. The record is from RNAcentral.